Molecule: ribosomal RNA, 253 nt
Filed under: uncultured bacterium
Lineage: Bacteria
Description: partial 16S ribosomal RNA
Rfam family: Bacterial small subunit ribosomal RNA
Source: RNAcentral
GACGAACCGUGCGAACGUUGUCCGGAAUUAUUGGGCGUAAAGAGCUCGUAGGCGGUUUGUCGCGUCUGCUGUGAAAACCCGGGGCUUAACCCUGGGCUUGCAGUGGAUACGGGCAGACUAGAGUUCGGUAGGGGAGACUGGAAUUCCUGGUGUAGCGGUGAAAUGCGCAGAUAUCAGGAGGAACACCGAUUGCGAAGGCAGCUCGCUGGGACGUAACUGACGCUGAGACGCGAAAGCGUGGGGAGCAAACAGG